GCGGUGUAGCUCAAUGGGCGAGCAACAGGUGUAACCUGAAGAUCCCGGUUCGAUUCCGGGCAUCGUCA
Molecule: transfer RNA, 68 nt
Filed under: Lactobacillus sp. 3B(2020)
Lineage: Bacteria; Bacillati; Bacillota; Bacilli; Lactobacillales; Lactobacillaceae
Description: tRNA-Tyr
Rfam family: tRNA
About the family: Transfer RNA (tRNA) molecules are approximately 80 nucleotides in length. Their secondary structure includes four short double-helical elements and three loops (D, anti-codon, and T loops). Further hydrogen bonds mediate the characteristic L-shaped molecular structure. tRNAs have two regions of fundamental functional importance: the anti-codon, which is responsible for specific mRNA codon recognition, and the 3' end, to which the tRNAs corresponding amino acid is attached (by aminoacyl-tRNA synthetases). tRNAs cope with the degeneracy of the genetic code in two manners: having more than one tRNA (with a specific anti-codon) for a particular amino acid; and 'wobble' base-pairing, i.e. permitting non-standard base-pairing at the 3rd anti-codon position.
Source: RNAcentral